UUACCUUUCAUGCAGCAGAAUCGGGAUGGUUGAGUAUCUCGCCUCUCAGUUCUGCCUGUAUUCUACCCUUGUUUCUCUUACACUAUUAUUUCCUCGGCAGGCUUGCCUGCCGAGUGAAACCACUUAUAACCUAUUUAAUUUUCAAUCAGCGUCUGAAAACUAUAAUAAUUACAACUUUCAACAACGGAUCUCUUGGUUCUGGCAUCGAUGAAGAACGCAGCGAAAUGCGAUAAGUAGUGUGAAUUGCAGAAUUCAGUGAAUCAUCGAAUCUUUGAACGCACAUUGCGCCCCUUGGUAUUCCAUGGGGCAUGCCUGUUCGAGCGUCAUUUGUACCUUCAAGCUUUGCUUGGUGUUGGGUGUUUGUCCUGAGGGACUCGCCUUAAAGUAAUUGGCAGCCAGUGUUUUGGUUUUGAAGCGCAGCACAAGUCGCGAUUCAAAGCUAUACGCCAGCUUGCACAAGCCUUUUUGACUUUUGACCUCGGAUCAGGUAGGGAUACCCGCUGAACUUUAGCAUAUCAAUAAGCGGAGGAAAGGCAAA
This 538-nucleotide ribosomal RNA is filed under the name Paraphoma chrysanthemicola. Its description in RNAcentral is "eukaryotic LSU rRNA". The stretch from base 173 to 326 matches the Rfam family "5.8S ribosomal RNA". The record is from RNAcentral. Lineage: Eukaryota; Fungi; Ascomycota; Dothideomycetes; Pleosporales; Phaeosphaeriaceae.